ACUGCUAGUGCUUCUGGAUCUUCUUACCGAAAUGGCUGAUUCAGGAGGAUGCGGGGAGCGUCAGAUCAGGAUUGCUGAAGGAGAGCUGAGAAUGAAACCACCAUUUAUUCAGCACUCAGAAUGCUCCAGGCAGUGUAAUCUCAUUCCAUCUUCAUUCAUGACUCCAGACAGGUAUGGCCACCAGUGCUCCAGAUUUACAUUCUAUUUACCUCACAACCCCAGUGGAAAAAGAAUAUCUCUUUCCUGAUUGGUCCAGCAGAAAUCUUGGUAUUAACUCUGACUGCCCACACUUGAAUAUGAACUAUUAGUAAGUACUGUGGCCAAGAGUUUGCUUCGGGAAAGAAUAUGAUAAAGUCACCUUAUCUUUCAUGUUUGCUCAGAAUAGUGAGGUGAUUCUCCACAGGAAAACUGGAAUGCUGUUACUAGAAGAAGAAAUACUGGACAAAGCUAAUAGAUGUCCCCAAAAGUGAUGAUAAUAAUUUUAUUCAAAUAGGUUCAUAGAUCAGUCUGGUGGGCUUGUUUUCACAUUUUAUUUAAGAAAAACUCUUGUAAUUACAAGUUCCCCAGUCUGUAAAUACAGAUGAGAUUAACCAAAUUUUGUUAUUUUUUGACUGC
This 615-nucleotide long non-coding RNA is filed under the name Homo sapiens (human). Its description in RNAcentral is "non-protein coding lnc-SH3BGRL2-1:6". The record is from RNAcentral. Lineage: Eukaryota; Metazoa; Chordata; Mammalia; Primates; Hominidae.